GAAACUUAAAGGAAUUGGCGGGGGAGCACAGCAACGGGAGGAGCGCGCGGUUCAAUUGGAUUCAACGCCGGAAAACUCACCGGGAGCGACGAUUACAUGAAGGUCAAGCCGAUGACUUUACCUGAUUUUUCGAGAGGUGGUGCAUGGCCGUCGUCAGUUCGUACCGUAGGGCGUUCUGUUAAGUCAGAUAACGAACGAGACCCUCGCCCUUAAUUGCUAGUUCAUUCUCUGGAAUGGNCGCACAUUAAGGGGACCGCUAGCGCUAAGCUAGAGGAAGGGGAGGUCAACGGUAGGUCAGUAUGCCCCGAAUCUCCCGGGCUACACGCGCGCUACAAAGGACGGGACAAUGGGCUGCGACACCGAGAGGUGAAGCCAAUCCCGAAACCUGUUCGUAGUUCGGAUUGAGGGCUGUAACUCGCCCUCACGAAGCUGGAUUCCGUAGUAAUCGCGGAUCAACAUCCCGCGGUGAAUAUGCCCCUGCUCUUUGCACACACCGCCCGUCAAACCAUGCGAGUUGGGUCUAAGUGAGGAUGUAGUUUUUGCUGCGUUCAAACUUAGGCUUAGCAAGCGGGGUUAAGUCGUAACAA
This 587-nucleotide ribosomal RNA is filed under the name uncultured euryarchaeote. RNAcentral's name for it is "bacterial SSU rRNA". It matches the Rfam family "Archaeal small subunit ribosomal RNA", at positions 851 to 1441 of the family's 1478-position model. The record is from RNAcentral. Lineage: Archaea; Methanobacteriati; Methanobacteriota.